This 45-nucleotide non-coding RNA is filed under the name Trichobilharzia regenti. Lineage: Eukaryota; Metazoa; Platyhelminthes; Trematoda; Strigeidida; Schistosomatidae. The record is from RNAcentral.
AGUUAUCUGUCGAAUCCAAAAUAGGACGAAAUGCACAUCUUGGAU